GAACGCUGGCGGAAUGCUUUACACAUGCAAGUCGAACGGCAGCACGGACUUCGGUCUGGUGGCGAGUGGCGAACGGGUGAGUAAUAUAUCGGAACGUAUCCAAUAAUGGGGGAUAACUAAUCGAAAGGUUGGCUAAUACCGCAUACGCCCUACGGGGGAAAGCUAGGGAUCUUCGGACCUGGCGUUAAUGGAGCGGCCGAUAUCUGAUUAGCUAGUUGGUGAGGUAAAGGCUCACCAAGGCGACGAUCAGUAGCUGGUCUGAGAGGACGACCAGCCACACUGGAACUGAGACACGGUCCAGACUCCUACGGGAGGCAGCAGUGGGGAAUUUUGGACAAUGGGCGAAAGCCUGAUCCAGCCAUUCCGCGUGAGUGAAGAAGGCCUUCGGGUUGUAAAGCUCUUUCGCAAGGGAAGAAAACUUAUCCUCUAACAUAGGAUGAGGUUGACGGUACCUUGAUAAGAAGCACCGGCUAACUACGUGCCAGCAGCCGCGGUAAUACGUAGGGUGCGAGCGUUAAUCGGAAUUACUGGGCGUAAAGCGUGCGCAGGCGGUUUUGUAAGUCAGAUGUGAAAUCCCCGAGCUCAACUUGGGAACUGCGUUUGAAACUACAAGACUAGAAUAUGUCAGAGGGGGGUAGAAUUCCACGUGUAGCAGUGAAAUGCGUAGAGAUGUGGAGGAAUACCAAUGGCGAAGGCAGCCCCCUGGGAUAACACUGACGCUCAUGCACGAAAGCGUGGGGAGCAAACAGGAUUAGAUACCCUGGUAGUCCACGCCCUAAACGAUGUCAACUAGUUGUUGGUAGAGUAAAAUCUAUGAGUAACGUAGCUAACGCGUGAAGUUGACCGCCUGGGGAGUACGGUCGCAAGAUUAAAACUCAAAUGAAUUGACGGGGGCCCGCACAAGCGGUGGAUUAUGUGGAUUAAUUCGAUGCAACGCGAAAAACCUUACCUGGCCUUGACAUGUAACGAACUUUCCAGAGAUGGAUUGGUGCUCGAAAGAGAACGUUAACACAGGUGCUGCAUGGCUGUCGUCAGCUCGUGUCGUGAGAUGUUGGGUUAAGUCCCGCAACGAGCGCAACCCUCACUUUUAGUUGCCAUCAUUAAGUUGGGCACUCUGAAAGAACUGCCAGUGAUAAGCUGGAGGAAGGUGGGGAUGACGUCAAGUCCUCAUGGCCCUUACGUGUUGGGCUACACACGUGCUACAAUGGUAUCUACAACAGGAAGCAAAACUGCGAAGUUAAGCAAAUCCCUAAAAGAUACCUCAGUUCGGAUUGCACUCUGCAACUCGAGUGCAUGAAGCUGGAAUUACUAGUAAUCGUGGAUCAGCGUGCCACGGUGAAUGCGUUCCCGGGUCUUGUACACACCGCCCGUCACACCAUGGGAGUUGGUUGCAAAAGAAGUGGGUAGUCUAACUUCGGAGGACGCUCACCACUUUGUGAUUCAUGACUGGGGUGAAGUCAUAACAAGGUAACCGUA
This 1476-nucleotide ribosomal RNA is filed under the name uncultured bacterium. RNAcentral describes it as "bacterial SSU rRNA". It matches the Rfam family "Bacterial small subunit ribosomal RNA". The record is from RNAcentral.